CUCACACAGGUUGCAGCACAGACAUGAGGGCCUUCACUCAGCUCCUGGGGUUGCUGCUGCUCUGGCUUACAGGUGCCAGAUGUGACAUCCAGACGACCCAGUCUCCAGCCUCCCUGUCUACAUCUCUGGGAGAAAGUGUCACCAUCACAUGCCAAGCAAGUGAAGACAUUUACAGUGAUUUAGCAUGGUAUCAGCAGAAACCAGGGAAACCUCUUAAGCUUCUGAUCUAUGGUGCAAACAACUUGGCAGAUGGGGUCCCAUCGAGGUUCAGUGGUAGUGGAUCUGGCACACAGUAUUCUCUAAAGAUCAGCAGCCUCCAGUCAGAAGAUAUUGCAACUUAUUACUGUCAACAAGGUAGGAGUUUUCCACCCACAGUGAUUCAAGUCAUGAUAUAA
This is a non-coding RNA of Peromyscus eremicus (cactus mouse), 395 nucleotides long. Lineage: Eukaryota; Metazoa; Chordata; Mammalia; Rodentia; Cricetidae. The record is from the annotation of a RefSeq genome assembly.